Long non-coding RNA from Lycium ferocissimum, 2639 nucleotides. RefSeq lists it as uncharacterized. The transcript has 5 exons. The record is from RefSeq and is a predicted model, not a curated record. Lineage: Eukaryota; Viridiplantae; Streptophyta; Magnoliopsida; Solanales; Solanaceae.
AGCCCGACUUCUCAAAUCAAUUAAAUCGACGGUUCGUUCCUCUGAUUCGGAGCUCCGACUUGCUGCCCAUACGCUUAUCUUUCGUCCCAUAUUUUAGGUUUUUAGUUUCCCUUUACUUUGCUUGCUUCAUCUGAUUAACGACCAUCAUCAGAGACAACUUCAACAUCGCAGAUCUCAGCGCAGGUAAACCCUAUUCACUAUAUUGUUGCAACCCAGAACUCAUCUGGAAAUUCUUAUUUUAUGACCAUUAAUAACGUCUUGCUAGAUAAUUUAUUUUCCCUAAUUACUUAUACAAUCAAGCUUCCAUUUUUAACUGGUUGUUUUGUUGUAAUUCUAGCCACAAUCAAUUUGUAGCAAUUUAUUACGUGUAUCCUGUUAUAGUUUGAAUUGCAUGGUUUCUCUUACUGGUUGUCUUUUUACUUUAAUUCAUUCAUUAUUAUUACUUUGACAUUUUCAUUGCUAGAGUUAGUUGCACAAAUCAAUCCAUGUGUCCUAUAAACUGCUAAACAAAUUCAACUGUAACUUUUGAGGGUAAAAAGUUUGGCGCCCAUCGAGGCUAAGGAUAAUUGUGGUAGUGUUUUGUUACUUUCAGUUCAUCUCUAAUCAUUCUAAGUUUGUGAAAUCAGGUAAAAAUUUGGAAAAAUAUGACGACGCCAAUAACGAUGAGUUGUUGAACAACAUUCUCAUUCAGGAAGCCGAUCCGUUUACCGGGGAAACUCAAACAAGGAAUACGCAUUAAAUAAUCGCUUUUGUCCUGAAUUGAAUAUGUUUUUGAUUAGUUCCCACAUGGUAUGAUUUCCCUGUAUUGUUUUAUCCAAAAUUUUGACUUCUAUACAAUUAAGAAAGAAUCCUUGGAGCAAUUCUUAGAUAGAAAGCACUAGCUCAUGGUUCAACUUCAUAAAAACCUAUAAACAACAACAACAACAACAAAAAAAAAAAAAAAAAAAAAGACCGAAGAUAAUGAAACACACAUAGUGGUUAUUAUGGCCCAUUAUAUAUCUGAGUUUGGUUAUUGACAAGUUGUUCUGUGUCUUUGACAACAAAUCAGUGCCAAUUGGCAACAGGAUUAAGAAAUUGUAGAUCAUGCUUACACGAAACUAAAUAUGAAAGUGCUGAAGUGUAAGAUGAUUACUGAUUCCCCCGACUUGCCCUAUUAGUAGCAGUUAUUUGUUCUUAUGGUAGGAACUCCUUGCAGUGCCUCACCGUUGUUUUUCGUGUUCCCACUCUUCAGUGUUUUACCGAGGCAUCUCAUGGUGAGCCCCAGAAAAAUUUCUUUUUCUAAUUGGUCAAAUUUAUUCAGGACAUUUAUUGGUCGGUAUGUAAUUUUAACAGGUUGCUGACCUCGAUCGCAAUUGCAGGUGAGCAAAGAGAUGUAGAAAUGCUUUAGCUAUAUGUUCAUCUGAAGUUCUCUAAUAUUUGAAACCGUAGAUCUUUCCAUUUUUUCAUACACAUAUCUGAUUUCAAUUUAUCAUUUUCAGAUUAACUGAGUGCAUUAUGCUGGGUGAUAACUAAUUCAGUGUAAAUUAUCUAUUGUCUGUGGUCUUUUGUUAUUGAAAAAAUGACUACCGUUAAUUACUGUUUCAGGUUAAUGAGAGGAAAAAAAUAACUGAACUCCAAGACGAUACAAAUUGUACCCUUGGCAUACUUCAAAAUUCAUUUUAAAGACUUAACAACAAACAGUAUAGUUAAUCAGGCUUUAAGUAAUCUAUAGAUUCCCAGCUUCUUGGCGAGUUGAUGUUGAAGUUCAUCUAUCGGAUCUUGAUAGUAACCUCUAAACAACAUAAGUUUUAAACUAAGACUGAUUCCUUUUCCCCUUGCAUUUAAUCCUCAUAUUGGUCCACUUCGUUCUCCUAUCAGCAGUUCAGAUUCCAGUCAGUAUUGUUAAUCUAUUGGCUUGCAUUUUCUCUUAGCUUCUUCGUAACGAGAGGGGUAGACAUCCCAAGUUGAUCCUCAUGUGUUGGAUGUUAAUUACUUUAUUCUUUUGAGGUCUUGUUAGUCACAUUUGGAGGCACUUUCAAUAUAAGUAGAAUUCAUCAGUUCACUCCUUAAUUGAAGCCAGAUUUCUACAGCUUGGACAAAAGGAGAUUCAUCUUUAAAUUGUGUUUAUUCUCUUUAUUGGAAGAAGAGCAUGUUGUCCGAUAAGGAAACAGAUGAGCUGUGAGAUGAGGGACUUUACCUGCAGCUGAACCAUUUGCAAAACUAUGUAAACAGAGUUUUCUGGUGUUGUUUUGUGCAUUUGAUCACUUCAGAACAAGAUUGGAGGAGGAUUUGGGCAAGUUUACAAGCUUCAAUGUGGAGAAACCAGAACUUGCUGUUACACUGUGUGUUAGUAGAGCACGUAAAGAGCUGCCAACGUUGGAAAUGACUAUCACCGCAACUUACUCUCUAGCAUUUGCUAGAAAGUCCUUCAACUGCUGGGCAGAAUUAUGAAAGCAUUCACAAUAAGCUAAAUCUUGCUUAUGAAGAACGAUAAAUACAAUAUAAGAGUAUAAUAUAGUUCUGGAAACGAUUGACAUUAGUUUUAUUUUAUUACAAACAAAGGUGUUAAGUACAUUUUCUUCUGCUAAAUUUUAUGCUCUUUAGGCUGAAGUCUAUAUGUGGAAAUGAAAUAUGUUAUAAGCCAAAGUGUUGGGCCCGUG